Molecule: long non-coding RNA, 272 nt
Filed under: Naja naja (Indian cobra)
Lineage: Eukaryota; Metazoa; Chordata; Lepidosauria; Squamata; Elapidae
Description: lncRNA (ENSNNAG00000005884.1)
Source: RNAcentral
CUUUGCUGUAGAGUGUGACUGCCAGUAGUUAAAAUUUUGCUUGACAGAGGAAGCUGCUUCUUGGAUUAUAAGGACGUGUUUCAAUAGACAGACAUCCACAUGCUGUUUUGUAAGGAUACACAUAACCACUGGAUAUAACCAUGUUUUUGUGGCUAGAACUCUUGGUGUUUGGCUUGGCUCUUGUGGACAUGGAAGUUUUCAUAAAUGGUAGGUGCCUUCAUUUGUUUUGAUACCACGGGUUCUCUUGGUAAUUGUAGCAACAGCAGCAAUUG